This is a non-coding RNA of Cherax quadricarinatus, 500 nucleotides long. The record is from RefSeq and is a predicted model, not a curated record. NCBI's taxonomy places the organism in Eukaryota, Metazoa, Arthropoda, Malacostraca, Decapoda, Parastacidae.
UGCUCGCCUGUCUCACAAACGUUGCUCACUGGGAGAUGCGCACCAACAACAUGAUGGCCGCCGACUCGGGAAUUUGAUAAACAUUACAGACGUUUAUGCCUGUUGCGGUCCCGGGAAGCCAUGACGGGGUUUUGUUAAAUACCUAGCGAGUCCUUUGUAAGGUUAAGGCGCUAAGAUGUCAAGUUCAUUUGUGAAAGAUUGUUCUGAUGUAUCAGCUCCAGGAAACUCAAAUUCUGGGAAAACAGUGAUCAUCAUUGUUAAUAAUGAAACUGGUAAUGUUUCAUUAGAUGAUGAUGAACUACAGAACCUACUUGCAAGCCAUGGAGCAGAUGGUUCUGAAGUCAGUGUAGUGCGAAUGGGAAGUGGCGGAGUGGAGAAUCUCGGUGAAGCAAGUGUUAAUGCCUUAGUUGCUACUUCUGAUGGCGCUCAGCAUGUUAAUCUUACUGUUGAGGGAUUCCCAGCAAUUCCAAUUGAAGGUUAGAAAAUUAUUAUUAAUUUGA